CGCGGCAAGACGGAAAGACCCCGUGAACCUUUACUAUAGCUUGACACUGAACAUUGAGCCUUGAUGUGUAGGAUAGGUGGGAGGCUUUGAAGUGUGGACGCCAGUCUGCAUGGAGCCGACCUUGAAAUACCACCCUUUAAUGUUUGAUGUUCUAACGUUGGCCCCUAAUCGGGGUUGCGGACAGUGUCUGGUGGGUAGUUUGACUGGGGCGGUCUCCUCCUAAAGAGUAACGGAGGAGCACGAAGGUUGGCUAAUCCUGGUCGGACAUCAGGAGGUUAGUGCAAUGGCAUAAGCCAGCUUGACUGCGAGCGUGACGGCGCGAGCAGGUGCGAAAGCAGGUCAUAGUGAUCCGGUGGUUCUGAAUGGAAGGGCCAUCGCUCAACGGAUAAAAGGUACUCCGGGGAUAACAGGCUGAUACCGCCCAAGAGUUCAUAUCGACGGCGGUGUUUGGCACCUCGAUGUCGGCUCAUCACAUCCUGGGGCUGAAGUAGGUCCCAAGGGUAUGGCUGUUCGCCAUUUAAAGUGGUACGCGAGCUGGGUUUAGAACGUCGUGAGACAGUUCGGUCCCUAUCUGCCGUGGGCGCUGGAGAACUGAGGGGGGCUGCUCCUAGUACGAGAGGACCGGAGUGGACGCAUCACUGGUGUUCGGGUUGUCAUGCCAAUGGCACUGCCCGGUAGCUAAAUGCGGAAGAGAUAAGUGCUGAAAGCAUCUAAGCACGAAACUUGCCCCGAGAUGAGUUCUCCCUGACUCCUUGAGAGUCCUGAAGGAACGUUGAAGACGACGACGUUGAUAGGCCGGGUGUGUAAGCGCAGCGAUGCGUUGAGCUAACCGGUACUAAUGAACCGUGAGGCUUAACCUUACAAC
Molecule: ribosomal RNA, 865 nt
Filed under: Escherichia coli
Lineage: Bacteria; Pseudomonadati; Pseudomonadota; Gammaproteobacteria; Enterobacterales; Enterobacteriaceae
Description: partial 23S ribosomal RNA
Rfam family: Bacterial large subunit ribosomal RNA
Source: RNAcentral